Cavia porcellus (domestic guinea pig) is the source of this 204-nucleotide regulatory RNA element. It matches the Rfam family "Mason-Pfizer monkey virus packaging signal". Rfam says of the family: The packaging signal is located in the 5' UTR and is required for specific RNA encapsidation. NCBI's taxonomy places the organism in Eukaryota, Metazoa, Chordata, Mammalia, Rodentia, Caviidae. The record is from Rfam.
UGGCGCCCCAACAUGGGACCCAAGAACAGGGGACUUAAUGAGGGACGCUGUUAGUGGGCCCAAAGUAGAAAAAGGAAAAGAAAAUAGAGGACCAACGUGGGAGCCUGCCAUGCCACUGAACCUCAGUAAGUGAACAGCAAUUAUGGGACAACAAAUUAGCCAACAUGAAACUUUUGUUGAAAGUUUAGAAAAGCUUUAAAGAUG